UCAUAUGCAAAGCAUGCCGAGCCCCAUCCGUGCUAUCUCCUAAAGCAGUCAUUCUGAAACCCAAUCUGGGGACAGUGCAGACUAAAUAAAAUUUCAUUUUGAUUUGGCCUCCCGCUGCGAAUGGGACUGCUUUGUCUCAGCCGACAGAACGAGCGAGCCAGAAAGAUUUAAUACCAAUGAAAUGGACAAAAUGCAAUCAACAGUUCAAAUACGGAGAAAAGACUUGGCACUAAGUUCUAACUCUUUGAUUAGCAAGUUACCCAUUUCAGAGAAUGGAAAACUAAGUCAAGGAAUGAAGACAUAGGGACAAGUAUAGAUUACUGAUACGGAGACGUGUGUGCCACAGGGAAACCAUGAUCCAAGCUCGUGUUGAAACAUACUGUGUUAUUGUUCUUAGACUGAACUUUGGAAAUAAGUACCACAAAUUCGAAUUCUGUCGUCAUGGAUGAAGCACCUGUGAUGUGCCAAUCAUGGAGCUUUGCAGAUAUAAGAACACCAUCCCUGAGCAUAAGAAGGAAGAGGAAGAGACAUCACUGCUGGGUCCUCUGCCUUGUUUGAUGCUUCCUUCCUGUUCACAAUUGUCCAUGAGAUAGGUAUCAGAUCCCCCAGGAGGUUGCCUAACUCUCUGCUUUCUCAGAGCCUGGAUUGAACCCCGGUCUGAUGGACUCCAAAGCAAGACUUGUUUACAGCCUGAGAUGAUCCAGGGACGAGAGGGAACAGUCAAGGCUCAAAUCCAGAUGCCUCAGCCACGUGCAGCAGGCGCUGGAGAAGAAGCUAUGCAAGGGACGAUAACAGAAGCCACCUCUCAUCCCAGAUAUUCUUGUAAAACCAAGUAUGAGCUUGGUUUGCUAUACGAGCAGCUCCUACUGGACUCUAAGGAGUCUAAUUAUUCAGCAAGGAUUUUGCCCUGAACUCUAGAGAGUUAAGUAUUUUGUGUCCAUCUUACAGAUGAGAGACAUAAAAUGCAUAAAGUAAAAUAUUUCUCCGAAGCUGUGAUGAAUGAAUUAUAGAGCUGGACAUGGGAGAAAAGCCAGAGACGCUUCCAGUGGUGGUAGAGGGUAUCAGCCUUCCCUUGUCACCAUAUCUGAUUCCAAAAUAGGCUUCCUAACUUUGUAACAUUCUCAGGUGGGAGAAGUCAAGUGUGAUACACAGCACACAAACUGCCUCAAAAUACCUUGGGCACACUUUUUUUUAAAGGGGAACUCCACUUGAGUAAUAGUCAAUUAUUUAGAGCCUUUUAGGUGUCAGGCACUGUUCCAAGUAUCUGAUGUAUAUCAACUUCUCAAAACAACCCUAUAAGAACGGGAAAACACCCCACAGAUCCUGCAUACUAUUCUCUGUGGAAUGAAGGUAUGAAGGUCAAUAUGCUUUACAUCUGUUGGUUUGAAAAACGGAGACCGGCUGUGCUCAGCCGAGAAACCAAGAGGAAACCUAAUAUUUCAAGACUGUGUCUCUUCCCGAGCAAGGAAAAUGCAGACCGACCAGUCUCAGUUGGAGGAACGGAGGGAAAACAGUGACAGGAGGGAGGAAGUCGCCUGAAAUGAUGUGCACGGUUUGGGGUUCGGGAUGGGAGAUGGCGCACGGGGGCUUUACGCCAUCUCACGAUUGGAAACAUGGUGCUCGGAUUCAGCUCCAAGCACAUCCCAGAGCUUUAAACUCCGUCUGUGUGUUCAUUCAACUUGGCAACAAAAUGCAAAGUGGCAGCAGCAGGUACUUUAGGACUCUUCACAGUGUGGAGAUUUCACACGGAUCCUGAAACCGUAGGCACACAAUUACUGCUGCCGGGAAGGAGCUGCAUUUGCAGGAUCCCCUUGACAUCUGCCUCAUUUCAAUAAUUUCCAGCCAUUGAACCUCUGUCUGAAUGAGCAUUAGGAAACAGAGGCAGCCUUGCUUACUAAUUUGAGUCUCUCUCUCCAGUUUGAAUGUGAUGCUUGUGAAAGCACUCGUUGACGGUUUUGAUGUCUGCAGCUUUCCCUCCAUAUGACCAGACACGUUCGCACAGUCUCCAUGUACAUCAAGGUAGGGAAGGGGAGCCUGGUGGUGGCUACCUUUACCUCCCGUCAGCAGUACCAUCAGCUGAGCUGUGCGGACAUUUCUCUGUUAAGAACUGAGCUGUGACCUGCAGAGGCCGUCGAAGACCUUCCCAGGCGAGGUCAUGCCCUUCAGUCAUUACAUCCUGGAUUUGAAACUGAGACCUACCCGUUUGCCCCAUGCAAAGAACAAGUGCUCUGACAUCGAUUUGCCCUAAGACGUGAUGAGCUGCUCUAACUUGACCCGUGGGGGGGAGUGGAAUACCUCACCUGUGGGUGAGAUCCACCUUGGUAUCCAUCAGCUUUGAUGAGGACAAGUCUUGAGAGACAAGCCAAUGGGAGUGGUUCAGAUACAUCUGCGACAUGAGGACUCUUAACACCUGUUUGUGCAGCCUCUCCUCCCCCCAAACUCUGUCCUUUGCCUCCAGUCAAUGUUCUUGGUCCAUUCGGAAGAAUCGUGAAUAUUCUUAGUCAUCCUAAAUUACUAAUAUAUAUUCACUAAUGUCAGAGAUCUGUACAGGUGAUUCCCGAGCUUAUUACAGGAACACGUUCCCGCAUUGCUACUGGGCAUAUUCUCCAUGUCUCCUUUUCCAGAUUACUGACUCAAUUUAAGAUUACAUCCUCUGCUCCUUUGCUGGUAUUGCAUUUGCCCUGUAAAACUCAUUCCCUUCACAUCACAGGACGUCUAGACACACGGGGGGCGUUCCGAGACUGGGCGUGAGAUGUGUUUGAUGCUGUUUCUUUAACGUGAUCCACUCUUUCUUUGAUCUGCGAAGCUCCCCACCAUCCUGUCAUGGUUAUGGGGAUCCCGGGAUUGAGCAUCCAAGGCUGCUUAAGUAUUAAUUGUCUCGCGUCAGAUGAUUUUUCUCUCGGCCACAUUCAGCCUGCUGCCUCUGCAGUAUGGCGUGCAGUGCCUCACUGCAUCACUGAGGAAAGAAACGGUAAAUUAAGUAGAUUUUCAAAUUGCCCAUUGAACUCACAUCAUUAAAUAAUUCUAUAAGAAAUUCAUAAGCGGAGACAAGUAGAAAGAUUAAAAUGCUACAAAUUAUAUGUGGGGCGUAGCGGGGAGUGUAUACCUUUUUUGUCCUUUGUUCCGGCCACAAAGCACCCACAGCUAGGCAUGGUUCUGCCCACGGCUUAACAAUGAGUACCUUUAAGGAAGCGUGACCCCUGAGUGCCCCCAAAAGGGAGAUUAUUGUAACAGCAUUUUGCUCAUCUCUAGGAACUGGUUUACCACACCUUGCAUCGCUCAGGUUACACUUGCCCCAGAGAGGCAUUAAGUUUCUAUCUUUCCCUCUUCCUUCCUCCCCCCUGGUUUUUCUGCACCUCACUUCCCAUCCUACCAGCAGCAAGGAAGUGGGGAAGGAACAGCGCUUCUCUUGCAUAUAAGGUACUUUCAUCUCCUUCACCCCACAAUGCCAGAAACGUCCUAGCCAGCCGGGGUCAUUGGUGUUUUUCUCUGCCAUUCUUCUUUGUCAUUCCAUCCUACCUCUUUGAUGGCUGUUGAGUCUAAUCACCCUCAUUUUCUCUGUUUCUACCUGGCGUGUACACCUCAUGAAACCAAAGGCAGUUCUAUUUUCAAACCACUGGCCCUCAGCACACAAAAUGGCACCUGGCCCACAAGUAGUGCUCUGGCAUCUAAGGCUGUGUAACUAACCACUCCAAAAUGUAGUUGCGUAAAGCAAGAACCAUUCUCAUUAUCUCUCAUGGGGUCUGUGGGUCAGGAACCAGGGAGGGGCUAGUUCCUGACCCACAGUCUCAACGGUUCUGCCUCAGGGUCUCCCAUGCAGUUGCAGGAGACAUAGCAACUGGGGACUUUCUGAGCAUCUUUUUCUCUUCCAUAGGCUCAGAGCCUCUCAGUUUGGUCUCUCUCCAUCUGGUUAGUUGUGCUUCCUUACAGCGUGGCUGUCUCAGGAUAGAAGGCUACUUUCGUCACAACUAAGGGCUCCAAGACCGAGUAUUCCUGCUGCAAGGCAGACGUUAUGAAGACUUUUUGGACCCAGGAGUGGGAGUCACACAACAUCAUUGCCACUGAAUUCUCUUAGUUACAAGUGAGUCCCGAGUUUAUCCAGAUUCUAGGAGAAGAGAAUUAGAUUCUACUCCCUACUGGGAAUGUUCUAGAAGAGCAUUGGUUUCCAGAGGUAAUGCUGUGUCCAUCUUUAGAAAGUAGAAUCUGCCACAAGGAAUGUCCAAGCAUUGUUUCUAAAAGAAGUAAAUAAAUGUAAAAGAAGUAAAUAAAUAUUUUCUGAAUGAUUUCUCUGUCUCUCCUACUAAAGAUUUCCUCUAACUUCAAUUUUCAAAGAGCUCUGUUUUUGUUCCAAUAUUUCACAAUCUCCACUAGCAACUGCAUUCUGUCCUGUUUCUGAAUGGUGCUCUGUCUUCUACCAAGUCUGCUCUUUUAUAGAUUAUCUUCCCGAAACAUUGGUUCUCAAUUUUUACUUCAGUCCGUGUGCUUUCUCCAUCUGACUUCUCUAUAUUGUGACCCACCAGAAAGAUUUUGUUGAGCUUAGACUUCUGUUAUUUGUCUUGGGAUGAGUCUAGAAAAUCCAAUACACCCCCCUUACCUCAGCAGUUAUAUCCCAACCCACUCCCAUCCUAAUGAAAAUCACUUAAAUAUUUUAUGAAUUUCCUCUUUGUUCAUACUUUUCAGAUUUCUGUUCUCAUGUUUAACCUCUCUCAAGGCAUUCAAUUUGUUGUCUCUAUUCAUGUCUCUAUAAACUAACUAGACACAAUCAAUUCAAAUUUAGCAUGACUGCACUCAACUAUUUUCUACAUAAAUUUAUCUUCUUUACCCACUUCUCAAAGAAGGCUGCUGUAAGAACCAUUCAAUUCCUUGUACACCUUGUUCAUAACAGUAUUCUUCCCAAUAGCUAAAAAAUGAAAGUGUCCAUUGAUGAAUAAAUAAACUAAAUGUGGUAUGUACACACAAUGGAAUAUUAUGCAGCCUUAAAAAGGAAGGAAAUUCUGGCACCUGCCACAACAUGGAUGAACCUUAAGGACAUUAUGCUGAGUGAAAUAAGCCAGACACAAAAAGACAAACUGUGUAUGAUUCCACAUGCAUGAAAUUCCUAAAGUAGUCAAACGCAUAGAGACCAAAAGUAGACUAGUGGUUGCCAGGGGCUAGUAUAGUGGGAAAUAGGGAGUUAUUAUUUCAUGGGUACAGAGUUUCAGUUUCGCAAGAUGAAAUGUUCUGGAGAUGGGUGGUGGUGAUGUCUGCACAACAGUGUGAAUGUACUUAACACUGUGAACUGUACACGUCAAAAUAGUUGUUAGAAAAUUUUAUGUUGUAUGUAAUCUAACACAACUUUUUUUUUUAAUUGUUUAAUUACUUUACAUUUUCCUGGUCAAGUUUUGUAAGCCAUAUCUUUAUCUCAGCUUUGCUUCUGGGAGGACCCACGAAGACCCCUCAAACCAUUUUGUUAAAAAUCACACAUUGUGGAAGCAAAACCCAUUUGUGUAAUAAAACUGUUCUCUGAAACCAUGAUGGGUGAUCUUUAGCACCUAUAGAUAAGGAUGUGGACGCAAGUGGUUAUCUUAGUAGUAAUCUACGAAGAAGUGGUAGGAUUGUGGGAAAGUGAGAAAAGUUAAUAGAGGAUGCACUUGUGAGCAGGAGAAUGCCAGAGGUGUCUGAGCUCAGAUCUGCUGGGGAUCUCCGAAUACACCUCAGAAUUGUCCCUUCUUAUCUCUCUAGCCCUUCAUGAUGCUGCUAAUACCUGGAGCGUGUCAUGCCCCCCAUUUGCUUUUCUGCACUUCUGACCCUUACAUCGUCAUUUCCUUUAUUAAACACCCUCUAUUUGAAAUACCUAGAAAGGGACAAACUCAGUGCCAGCCCCUUCUCCACACACGAGCUGAUCUGAUAUCAUCCACACACUGAACCCAUGACAGCAUCCAUCUCUCUCCAGACAUCAUACAAGGUGAAAAAAUUAUUUACUUCAUCUGCUGUAUUUAGUUAAUCUGCUGUGAUUGAGAUUUUAUUUUACCCCUAAAGAAUCCAAAAGAUUGUUUAAAAAAAGUUGGCCUAAAAUGUAUACUGUACUUCAUUUAAUCAUUUCUCUCCAUUUAUUUAUUGUUUGUUUGCUUUUAGCAGCAUGUGCGAUAGACUGUUGGUUCACUGGACACGUCGGUACUUCCUAAUGUAUCAUAUCCUGUCCAUGGCCGAGUCUAGACUGUAAGAGAGACAGACUUCUAAAGAAUUAUCUCUGCUUCCACUUCUCUUUGAAACAAACUGAAGUGUUCUGUUCCAGGUAACUCCACACUCUCUUGGACCCAGGGUGCGUUCGUCUUACGACAAAUCACUGGUAGGCAAGAGCCAACCCAAGUCCCGCCAGCACAUUUAAGGCUUGUCUCACACUGACUCACAUUCCACUGGCCAGUGCAAGUCACGUUGCCACGCCCAACAUGAAGGGGGCUAAAAAGCAUUUUGCCGACAAAGGGAGGGGAAAGAGAGUGCUGAAAGCUAACUCUCCAACUUUACCAUGGAUCAGAAUUGCCUGGAGAAUUUGUUAAACCUGAUUGUAAGGCCCCAGCGCCAGAAUUUCUGAUUUGGUAGGUAUGGGGCCUAAUGAUGUGCUUUUCUAACAAAUUCCUGGUGGUGCCGAUGGUGCUGACGCUGCCCAUCCAGAGAGGACACUGAAAACCAUUGAUCUAAAUUCUCACCAUUGGCCUCCAGAGAUGCCAUGCAACAUCUAAGUGGGGAACAGGAGAGUGUGAAGUGCAAGAGGAAUGAAAACCCCAAAUGAUGACGUCUUAAGAUAGUCUUUGUGAAAAACAUGCAAAAGGAUCUCGGUUUAAUUAGCCUAAAGAAAGGCAGCUAACAGAGAAAUUAAUGACAGUCUUCAAGUCUGCAAUGGGAGAGGAGCAGCUGUUUUUCAGUGGACGGGAAGAGGAUGAGAAUGCACCAGGAGAGAUUCAAGGAAGCCGUGAGCAAAGCCAGCCCGUCUGCAAGGCUGUAGACGUGACGGGUACACUAAGGACUCUGAGAGAAGCAGAAUUAGAUCAUUUAAAGCAUGAAUCAUUUCCGCUCUAUAAUUAUUUGACUUUUGUCCUUUCACUGGAGCAAAAUGAGAAUUGUCUCUGAGGGUCACUUUUGGCUCCAUAAUUCUGUGAUGAGGAUAAGAGAAACAAUAAGGAAGAGGUAGAGACCAGAGGAAAGAACACCUUCUGCAUUUGUAAGUGCAUUCCAAGAUGCCAGCAAUUGUUUUUUAGAAAAGCAAACAUUUCUUAAUUUUGUUGUCACCCCUAACAUGUGAUGAACCUCAUCCCAUUGGGAAGGUGUCCCCUUUGGGGGUUGACUGAAAAAAGAAUGAUAACACAAGCCAGAGGACCUGACUCUGAGUCUAGAUUCUACCAUGUUUUUUUUGUUUUUGUUGUUGAAUGGUUAAUUACUUUAAUCUUUCUGAGUUUCUUGUCUGUCAAUGAGGAUAAUAAUUUCAACAACACUAGGGUGUUGGAAGGAUCCAAAGAGCUAAUAAA
Molecule: long non-coding RNA, 7502 nt
Organism: Globicephala melas (long-finned pilot whale)
Lineage: Eukaryota; Metazoa; Chordata; Mammalia; Artiodactyla; Delphinidae
Source: RefSeq, a predicted model, not a curated record